This 96-nucleotide microRNA precursor is filed under the name Cavia porcellus (domestic guinea pig). RNAcentral's name for it is "miRNA (ENSCPOG00000035908.1)". Lineage: Eukaryota; Metazoa; Chordata; Mammalia; Rodentia; Caviidae. The record is from RNAcentral.
UAUAUAUAUGUGCUUUUAAAAAGCAUUUAUUGUUUGUGCAUACAUAUUUUUGUGCAUAUAUACAUACACACAGAUAUAUGCAUGCAUGUAUAUAUA